GGCAAGUCUGGUGCCAGCAGCCGCGGUAAUUCCAGCUCCAAUAGCGUAUAUUAAAGUUGUUGCAGUUAAAAGCUCGUAGUUGAACUUUAGGCAAGGCGGCCUGGUCACCCACUGGGUGUACUGGGCUCGCCGCGCCUCACCUUCGGGGAACUAGCUGUGCUUCGGUGCACUAGGGAACCGAGCCUUACUUUGAAGAAAUUAGAGUGUUUAAAGCAGGCUUACGCUUGAAUACGCCAGCAUGGAAUAACAAGAUAGGACUUUGGUUCUAUUUUGUUGGUUUGAGGACCAAAGUAAUGAUUAAUAGGGCCAGUCGGGGCAUUAGUAUUCUAUAGUCAGAGGUGAAAUUCUUGGAUUUAUAGAAGACUAACUAAUGCGAAAGCAUUUGCCAAGGAUGUUUUCAUUAAUCAAGAACGAAAGUUAGGGGGAUCGAAGACGAUCAGAUACCGU
RNAcentral lists this ribosomal RNA (447 nucleotides) under uncultured Rozellomycota. RNAcentral's name for it is "SSU rRNA". It matches the Rfam family "Eukaryotic small subunit ribosomal RNA", at positions 554 to 1018 of the family's 1831-position model. Lineage: Eukaryota; Fungi; Rozellomycota. The record is from RNAcentral.